Molecule: non-coding RNA, 663 nt
Organism: Cricetulus griseus (Chinese hamster)
Lineage: Eukaryota; Metazoa; Chordata; Mammalia; Rodentia; Cricetidae
Source: RefSeq, a predicted model, not a curated record
GGCGGGCGGAGUUGGAGGCGGGGCGGCUGCCGGAAGGUUUGGAAGGCGCUGGGAGUUCUGAGGAGAGCCGCGUUCACUUCCUGUUGCCUGUGAAUCAAGAACUCUCCGCUCCUUCUCCAGGAUCAUGUCUGCUUGCAUGCCUACCAUGCUUCUGGCCAUGAAAAUAAUGGACUAAACCUCUGAACUGCUGCAGUCCAACUCAUCCUAUUGCCUAUGAAUGGAAGGUCUAAGAAUUCAGAAGCUGGUCAGUCCAUGAGGCUGGAUGUCUCAGCCGGUCUUCAGUAUACACCAGAAUCCUGAAAAAGUAGGCUCUAAUGCCAGUUAAGGGAUGGACUUGCUAGCAGGCAAGAACAAGCAGGCAAAGAGCAAAAGCUUCCAUCUUCCAUGCCCUUAUAUAGGCUUCCAGUAGAAGGUGUAGCCCAGAUUAGAGGUGGGUUUUCCCAGAACAAAAGAUCUGGAAUAAAGGUGUGUCUUCCUAUUUUAAAGUUUCAGAUUAGAAGUGGGACUUCCUACUUCAGAUUAAGCAAAAAUCUUUCACAAGUAUGCCCUCCAUUUGGGGACUUUAGUUAAUUCCAGAUGUUGCAUAAUAUUAGUUUAAGAUAUAUUACAUUCAUUUAUGCUGUGGAAUAUUUGUUUAAUGAUAUAAAGAGGUAUUGCAUCCUU